GCGCGCGUAGCUCAAUUGGAUAGAGUGACGGCCUCCGGAGCCGCAGGUUGUGGGUUCAACUCCCGCCGCGCGCACCA
Molecule: transfer RNA, 77 nt
Filed under: Acidobacteriota bacterium
Lineage: Bacteria; Pseudomonadati; Acidobacteriota
Also listed under: 3 other names
Description: tRNA-Arg
Rfam family: tRNA
About the family: Transfer RNA (tRNA) molecules are approximately 80 nucleotides in length. Their secondary structure includes four short double-helical elements and three loops (D, anti-codon, and T loops).
Source: RNAcentral